Long non-coding RNA from Equus caballus (horse), 5535 nucleotides. The record is from Ensembl. NCBI's taxonomy places the organism in Eukaryota, Metazoa, Chordata, Mammalia, Perissodactyla, Equidae.
GUGAGGGGAGGCCGCUGCGGUGGCCGGGGCUCUCGCGGCUGUCAGGCUGCUGGGCGGGCGGGAGGCACGGCGGCGCGCCGCGGGCGGGGAGGCUGCCGAGGAGCUUGUCGCCGGGGCCUGCGAGCGUGGCAGCCCGGGGGGGUGGGGGGAGGGUGACGAGCAAAAUGGCGGUUGCUUCCGGCUCCGAAGCGGGCAGGGAGGUUGGCGAGAGACGGCCGCUCGCGGGCGCAAGGAGCCGCGGAGGCCGUGAGCGGGGGAGCGCGGCGGCGCGUGGGGACCCGCGGGCGGGCCCGCGUCCGGCGGCCUGACUGGCGCGCAGCCCGGGCUUUCGUAGCGCGGCGGUUCCGGAGGACCCGGCACCGCGGGGGGAGAGGGUGCGGCCCGUGACGUCACUCUCUGUGGGCUCAUAGGGGGCGUCCGCUGGGGGGCCGCGGCUGUCCCGGGCCUGAGGGAGACGCUGCCGGGCCGACGGGGGACGCGGGUCCAGCGGCGCAGACGUGAGGCUUCGGCUCGUGGACAAUGCAGAUCUUCGUGAAGACCCUGACGGGGAAGACCAUCACCCUGGAGGUGGAGCCCAGCGACACCAUCGAGAACGUCAAGGCCAAGAUCCAGGACAAGGAGGGUAUCCCCCCCGACCAGCAGAGGCUCAUCUUCGCCGGGAAGCAGCUGGAGGAUGGGCGCACCCUGUCUGACUACAACAUCCAGAAAGAAUCUACUCUGCACCUGGUCCUGCGCUUGAGGGGAGGUGUCUAAGGUCCCCCUUUUAAGCCUCUGACAAAUUACAUUGCACUUUUCUUUCAAUAAAGUUGUUGCAUUCCCAAAUAGUGUGGGUUUUUUAAUGUCAUGUGAGGUUCUUUUUCGUUAGGGUGUGGUGCAAGGGAUCAUGGUUUCCAGUCUACCAAAUGAUUCUCUGGUAACCAAGAGUUAAGAAAUACCAGUAAAAGAUUGCCUUAAUAUAGAAUUGUAGUGGGUGGGUACAAAUAAAGACUAGGCAAAUUAGAGGUUGCUUUUAGAAUUUCCUGUAUAUACACAUAUAUAGACAUUUGAGGGCUACUGACAUUAAAAAUACUGAGUUUGGGGGUGGUUGUGAGGUACCUGAGCAUGGGGAAGUUUCUGGAACACUAGCAGGAAGGAGAUAAGAGGAGGGGUGAUUGUGGUAGAAGGGAACUUACAGAAGUAGCUUUAAUGUCUAGCUGUACUUAAAUCCACGAGCUGCACAGAAGGUUGUCAUCUGACAGACUUUAAAGAAUAUGGCGAGUAUUGUAUAUUAAAUAAAAAUUACCUGGUAGGCAUUAUGCUAGUGUUUGGGCAUUAGUGGUUAUUUGAAAUGUCAUAAUUACUGCUGAAGUAAGUUGUCAAGGUGAUUCCUCGGUUUUCAUGUGGCUACAGAUAAAGGUUUGUAUAUAACUUCAUUGGUGGUGGGUGGAGCAUCUGGCCUUUGGUCUUAGUUUCCAGAAGUUUGUGGUGGUGGCAUUUACCCACUCAGCUGGUGCUGAUAAGGGAUUAUUUUUACGUCUUAACUAGAACCUAAGGUGGAGGUUGCAGGGAAGCUGGUCUAGUAUAAGCAAUUGGCCCUUGGUGAUGGGCACCCCAGAAAUCGGAGCCCCAUCUAAGCGCUGGAAGGGAUUGUCUUCUCCAGAGAGCACCAUUCCCUCCACUGCUCCCUUGCACUCCCCCAGUUUUGGGGUAUCCAUGCAUAACCUCUGAUGUAGAAGGAAAUUUUGUGUUGUCACUGCCAGUUGUAAAAUGGCCAGAACCAGGUUUAAGUCCUAGGUUCAGGGAUCACAACUAGAAAAUUGAGGCCAUUUGAGAAAUCCAUAAAUCUUAGGCAAGUCUGUUAGUUUCUGUGGUUUUUCACAAUAGGCUGGUAGAAGCAUGUGUAACACAGUUUGCUGAAUUUCCAUCCCUUGCCCGUACAAGAUAACAUAGGUCAGGAAGCAACAUUACAAGAACCCCAGGAACUUCACCAGCAGCUGUAACCAGUUACCAGUUACGAUGCUAGGAGUUUUUGUGCAAGUGAUUUUGGUGCUUGUUAGAAAUGAGUGGUCGUAGUACAGGGAAAACAUCUUAAUAGCAUCUUGAAAAUGACCGCUCUGCAGGACAGGUGGUGUAAGGUUCUUAGUCAGUGUUAAUGUAUUACAGGCAACUACUAAGUAUUAAUUCCCACUCACACAGUAGCAUACUGGUUUGUAGUCUGUCCUGCACCUUGUUUUUUGUAUUAUAUAUCAUGGUUUUGGCAGAGUUCUAACAUCUUUUCAUUUUGUAUAAAGGAAAAACACCUUUUGUGUAAUUUUCUCAAGGACAAACCACCCGGGCAACACAAUCCCUAGUGAACUUUUACAGUACCCUCCACCCAAUAAACGGCAUGUCAGAAGCCGUAGUGAUCCAGUGAUGGAUGAGAAGGUUUUCUGCCAUCAGGGGAUCCUUAGUCUAAGAGCAGACUUGCUGGACUUGUUCAGUUUCAUUGAAAGAUUGUUAAAUCUUAAAGCCCCCCAAAGUUUGGUUUCACAUUUGAAUGAAUACUAUGUAAGAACUCACAGACAUGUGGUUCUGUCUCUUGAACAAACCAGAAAAGAUAUGCAUGGCUUGUGUUAAGCUCAUGUUCCUUUUUAUGUUUUGUCUGAAAGCACAACAAAGUCUUCACUAAAAACAGGAUCUCCUGCAAGUUAUGAGUAUGGCCCUAAUAGAGGUAGAAUGUUGAGAGAUCGGCAAGGGCCCUUCAAUGAAGCCGGUCAGCCACCUUAGCGUGCGGUGCUGGUUUCUGCCGGCAGAGGGAGCUCCGGGCACAGACUUCGGUGGAGGCCUGCAGCCUGCAGUGCUCCCAGGCGGUUGCGGUUGACCAGGCAGUUGAUGUACUCACCAGCAAGGGUUACUUUACUCUCAUUUUUCUCCUUCUACCGGUGCUGCAGCCACCUCCGUUUCUACCCCAGCUCGAAUUACUCCAUAAUAUCUAAUAUAGCUGUUACUCAGACCCUCUUUCUUACUGAAUCUCACCAGCCCUCACCGCUCAAAUGCCCUCCUGCCCGCUUCCCCUGUCCGCUGGCCACUUUCUUUUCCCCACCUGCUCCCUGCCAUUUUGCACCUCUUUCCUUCGAGCUACUCCGUCUUUCUGAAAUACCACCCCUCCCACCUCGACAAAUCCAAUCCUGCCCGAUGUCAAGCCCUGAUUUAAAGAAUGCCCAAAGCCUGCCUUGACUGUCCCAGCUGGACAGUGGCUGUCUUCCCUGAAAUCGCGUAGCUCUUUCUAUUUUGUGUUGAAGCUCUUCACUCAAAUGAGGGAGCUCUGCUCCUGUGUGUUUCCCCAGCACAGUGGCGUCUUUAUUAAGUAUGAGAUGUAGUGUUUCAUGGGCUCUUCAUUAGUCCUUCCCCAGACAAGAUGGCUGUAGAAAUCCUGAAAUGAUUCCUGUGGGGCUUCCUAAUUUGCUUGAAAAGAAAACUAGGCACAGAGCUAGAUAGAAGACAGAAGGCAAAUGUUUUCUACCUUGAAACGUAUAUUGCACAGAUCUGAACAAUUAGUAAAAUGAUGGGGUUGUAUGAUCAGAGGCUUUCAACGAGUAAUAAAGGAUGCUUUUAAGAGUAGUAAAUCAAUGAAUAAUAGUAGUCAGUGGUUUGUGUCAAGCCCUGUCUCUACCACCAGAAAAAGUUGAUUUCUGUCUUGCAGAGUGGUCAAGAAUAUAGGCGUCUUUGUUUCCUUUUUUAAGCCAUUCUGCUUUUUGACUGGCUUUUGCGACAGCAUUAGUUUUUUACCAGGCAGAAGAGAAGCCUUGGGCUGUAACCAGAGGUGAGAUGGCUGAAAUCUCAGUGGUCCUCCAACUAGAAUUAGACUGAACAACAGUGUGUGAGUUAGGAGUGCUUUUGGCUACAGGACACAGAAAGAUCCAAAUCACAGAGGAUCAAACAAGGGGGUGUUCAUCUUCUCAUAACAAGCAGUCUGGAUGUAAACCCCAAGCAUUUGCUUUGUUGUGAUUCUCUUGUUCUUUCCCUCAUAGUUGCAAAAUUGUUGUCACAGCUCCAGAUAUCACAUCUGUAUUCAAAGCAGGGAGAAGUGCGGAGCAGUGGGGUCAGCCACGUCAGGUUUUUUUAAUGAAGAAAAUACAGGCUUUCACUGACUUACCCUCAGGUCUCGUUGAUCAGAACUGGUCAAGGGGCCAGAAUGGUUUAAAAUACAGGGUUUCUCAAACUCAGCACUAUUGACCUUUUAGCCUGGAUAACUCUUUAUUGUGGGAGCUGUCCUGUGCACUGCAGGAUGUUUAGCAGCAUUUCUGGCCUCUGUCCACUGGGUGCCAGUAGCCCUCAGUGGUGACAACUAAAAAUAUUUCCAGAUGUUUCUGAAGUCCCCUGGGAGGCAAAAAUCAUCCCCCCUUGAGAACCGCUGGUUUAGACCAGUCAUGAUCCAUUGCUUGAGGCUGGCUGUAUUUCCACCUUGAAAAAAAAAUCAGAAUUAGUAAAGCAAAAAGACGGUCAUGGGUCUAGGGGUGGGCAGCUAAAAGCAGCGAUAAUGAAAUCUAAGGGCACUCUUAUUUUUUGUCGUCUUGGUAAAACUCAGUGUUACACAUCAUUAGACCAGUGGUUCUUAGGACGCAGUGUAGAAGAGGACACCAUGGGGACUUGUUAAAAAUGCAGUGCCUCAGCCCCCUCCCGGAGGCCCAGAUUCAGCAGGGCUGGGGUAGUGCCAGGAUCUGCAUUUUUUUUUAAUUGAGGUCAUAAUAGUUUAUAACAUUGUGAAGUUUCAAUUGUACAUUAUUAUUUGUCCAUUACCAUGCAUAUGUGCCCCUUUCACCCUUGUUCCUGCUCCCCACCCCCUUCUCCUCUGGUAACCACUAGUCUGUUCUCUUGUCAUGUGUUUGUUUAUCUCCCACAUGAGUGAAAUCGUACAAUGUUUGUCUUUGUCUGGCUUAUUUCGUUUAACAUAGUACCCUCACGGUCCAUCCAUGUUGUUGCGAAUGGGACGAUUUUGUCUUUUUUUAUGGCUGAGUAGUAUUCCAUUGUGUGUAUAUAGCACAUCUUCCUUGUCCAGUCGUAACUGAUGGGCACUUGGGUUGCUUCCACGUCUUGGCUAUUGUGAAUAAUGCUGCAGUGAACAUAGGGGUGCAUAAGUCUCUUUGGAUUGUUGAUUUCAAGCUCUUUGGAUAAAUAUCCAGUAGUGGGAUAGCUGGGUCAUAUGGUAUUUUUAUUUUCAAUUUUUUGAGAAAUCUCCAUACUGUUUUCCCUAGUGGCUGCACCAGUUUGCAUUCGCAGCAGCACUGUAUGAGGGUUCCCUUUUCUCCACAUCCUCUCCAACAUUUAUUUUUAGUUUUGGUGAUUAUAGCCGUUCUAACAGGUGUAAGAUGAUAUCUCAUUGUAGUUUUGAUUUGCAUUUCCCUGAUGAUUAGUGAUGCUGAACAUCUUUUCAUGUGCCUGUUGGCCAUCUGUAUAUCUUCUUUGGAGAAAUGUCCGUUCAUGUCCUCUGCCCAUUUUUUGAUUGGGUUGUUUGUUUUUUUGUUGUUCAGUUGUGUAAGUCUUUUUUUUUUUUUUUUUUUUUUUAGUGAAAGCCCG